RNA transcript from Octodon degus (degu), 4948 nucleotides. It is a transcript of the gene named malignant fibrous histiocytoma amplified sequence 1, with no coding region annotated. NCBI's taxonomy places the organism in Eukaryota, Metazoa, Chordata, Mammalia, Rodentia, Octodontidae. The transcript has 4 exons. The record is from RefSeq and is a predicted model, not a curated record.
CGAUCGCGCCCUCCCAGCGCCGGGGACGCGGCGCUCGCGCUCCCGCCGGAGUCCGGGUAAGCGGAGACGCGGAGGCGUCGCUACCCCCUCCUCUCGGCUGCGCCGGGCCCUGCGCCCGCAGCAUGCCCGCCGCGGAGCCCGGCGCCGCCCUCCUCUCGGAGCUCGCGGAGGCCACGCCGUUGCCGGUGUCGGGGCCGCGGCUGCGAGGGUAGCGGGGCCGGAGCCGGGCAUCAAGGCGCCGCAGGCAGGCAGGCGGAGCGGGGUGGGGUGGGGGGAGGAGCAGGCAUCCUCCGCGGUUGCUUCCCGGCGCGCCCAUGGCCCUGGAGCCCGGAGAAUGCGAGCUGCACUUCGAGCCGGCUGCUGCCUCCACUUGCGCCCAGCGCUCAGCGCCCCCCAGAGACGCUCGCGUCGUCGCCGCCCCCCAGCUGCAGGCGCCCGGGCCCUGGCUGCGCUAGGACCCUCGGCCGUUGGCCACCGGGGCGAAGUGGCCAGGGAGGAGCCGGAGCCUAAGGGCCCGGGAGCCCGGCGCUGGCGGGGGUGCGGCGCGGCAUGCGGCUGCGGGAGCCAGCGUGAAGGUGUCGGCCUGGGGCCCCGCCAUGGCUGGCAAGGACAGUGGCAACCUGAAGACGGUGAGACUAUGGCGGGAUGCCGCCUUGCGCGCCAGGAAGCUGCGGAGCAACCUGCGCCAGCUGACCCUCAGCGCAGCUGGGGGCUGCCCCGAGGCCGGAACCGACCCCCUGGAGUCCCCCGACGCCCCCCAGCUGGUGCUGCCGGCCAACAUCGGAGACAUUGAGGUGCUGAACCUGGGGAACAACGGCUUGGAGGAGGUGCCAGACGGGCUAGGGUCGGCACUGGGGAGCCUGCGCGUCCUCAUCCUGCGCAGGAACCGCUUCGCCCGGCUGCCCCCUGCGGUGGCCGAGCUGGGCCACCACCUUACCGAGCUGGACCUGAGUCACAAUCGGAUGACCGCUCUGGGUGCGGAGGUUGUGAAUGCCCUAAGGGAGCUGCGCAAACUCAACCUUAGCCACAACCAGCUGCCCUGUCUGCCUGCCCAGCUGGGCUCCCUGACCCUCCUGGAGGAGCUGGAUGUCAGCUUCAAUCGGCUGACCCACCUGCCCGACUCCCUCUCCUGCCUCUGCCGCCUGCGCACCCUCGACGUGGACCACAACCAGCUCACUGCCUUUCCCCGGCAGCUGCUGCAGCUGCCGGCCCUGGAGGAGUUGGACGUGUCCAGCAACCGGCUGCGAGGCCUACCUGAGGAUAUCAGUGCCCUCCGUGCCCUCAAGAUUCUCUGGCUGAGUGGGGCUGAGCUGGGCACCCUGCCUAAUGGCUUCUGCGAGCUGGCCAGUUUGGAGAGCCUCAUGCUAGACAACAACGGGCUGCAGGCUCUGCCUGAACAGUUCAGCCUCCUUCAACGACUCAAAAUGCUUAAUCUCUCUUCCAAUCUCUUUGAGGAGUUCCCUGAUGCGCUGCUGCCCCUGGCUGGUCUGGAGGAGCUCUACCUUAGUCGAAACCAGCUCACCUCGGUGCCAUCCCUUAUCUCCGGGCUGGGUCGGCUUCUAACCCUGUGGCUGGAUAAUAACCGGAUCCGCUACCUGCCAGACUCCAUUGUGGAGCUAACUGGGCUGGAGGAGCUGGUGCUGCAGGGGAACCAGAUCGCUGUGCUGCCUGACAACUUUGGCCAGCUCUCCCGGGUGGGCCUGUGGAAGAUCAAGGACAAUCCACUGAUCCAGCCCCCCUACGAGGUCUGCAUGAAGGGGAUCCCCUACAUUGCAGCCUACCAGAAGGAGCUGGCUCAUUCGCAGCCUGCGGUUCAGCCCCGCCUCAAACUGCUGCUCAUGGGCCACAAGGCUUCAGGAAAGACCUUGCUCAGGCACUGCCUAACCGAGGACAGAGUGGGGGGAAGCCAAGGAGGAGGUGACAAGGAGAAGAGUUACCCACCUUCCCCUCCCCCUGGAAGCAAGGGCAUCGAGGUGACCAGCUGGACUGCAGAUGCUUCCAGGGGCCUGCGGUUCAUCGUGUAUGACUUAGCUGGUGAUGAAAGCUAUGAAGUGAUCCAGCCCUUCUUCCUCUCCCCAGGUGCCCUGUAUGUGCUGGUAGUUAACCUGGCCACCUAUGAACCGUGCUGCUUUCCCACCACUGUGGGCUCCUUCUUGCACCGGGUGGGGGCGCGGGUGCCUCAUGCUGUGGUGUGCAUUGUGGGCACACAUGCUGACUUGUGUGCUGAGCGGGAGUUGGAAGAGAAGUGUCUGGACAUUCACCGCCAGAUUGCCCUACAGGAGAAGCACGAUGCAGAGGGCCUGAGCCAUCUAGCCCAGGUGGUGGACGAGGCCCUGGCUCGGGAUUUUGAACUGCGCUCUGCCAGCCCUCAUGCAGCCUACUAUGGUGUUUCUGACAAGAACCUUCGGCGGCGUAAAGCUCAUUUUCAAUACCUGCUUAACCACCGGCUGCAGAUCCUCUCACCUGUGUUGCCUGUUAGCUGCUGGGACCCCCGCCUAUUGCAACGUCUUCGGGACAAGCUGCUCUCAGUAGCUGAACACCGAGAGAUCUUCCCCAACUUACAUAGAGUCCUGCCUCGAUCCUGGCAGGUGCUGGAAGAGCUUCAUUUCCAGCCACCCCAAGCACAGCGACUUUGGCUAAGCUGGUGGGACUCAGCGCGUCUGGGCUUGCAGGCUGGUCUGACUGAGGACCGACUGCAGAGUGCCCUUUCCUAUUUGCAUGAGAGUGGCAAGCUGCUGUACUUUGAGGACAGCCCAGCCCUCAAGGAGCACGUCUUCCACAACCUCACCCGCCUCAUCGACAUCCUCAAUGUUUUUUUCCAGAGAGAUGCUUCCUUGCUGCUGCAUAAACUGCUCCUGGGGACCAGUGGAGAGAGUGAGGCUGAGGGGGAAAGCUUCCCUGCUAUGGCACUGCCUGCCCCGAACCAGGAUGUGCUCCGGGCCACCCAGCUGCAUCACUAUGUGGAGGGCUUUCUGCUGCAUGGGCUCCUGCCAGCUCACAUCAUUCGGUUGCUGCUUAAGCCUCAUGUCCAGGCCCAACAGGACUUGCAACUGCUGCUGGAGCUGCUAGAGAAGAUGGGACUCUGCUACUGCCUCAAUAAACCCAAGGGCAAGCCACUGAAUGGCUCAACAGCUUGGUACAAGUUUCCAUGCUAUGUGCAGAAUGAGGUACCCCAUGCAGAGGCCUGGAUUAAUGGGACCAACCUAGCUGGCCAGUCUUUUGUGGCUGAGCAGUUGCAGAUUGAAUAUAGUUUCCCCUUUACCUUUCCACCUGGGUUGUUUGCGCGCUACAGUGUCCAGAUCAACAGCCAUGUGGUGCACAGGUCAGAUGGAAAAUUUCAGAUCUUUGCAUAUAGAGGGAAAGUUCCUGUGGUGGUGAGUUACAGACCGGCCAAGGGCGUCUUGCAGCCAGAUACCCUGUCUAUUGCCAGCCACGCAUCAUUACCAAAUAUAUGGACCGCAUGGCAAGCCAUCACCCCCUUGGUAGAGGAACUGAAUGUCCUGCUUCAGGAAUGGCCUGGACUGCACUACACUGUGCACAUCCUCUGUUCUAAGUGCCUUAAGAGAGGAUCGCCCAAUCCACACGCUUUCCCAGGGGAGUUGCUGAGCCAGCCGAGACCAGAAGGAGUGGCAGAGAUCAUUUGCCCCAAGAACGGCAGUGAGAGAGUGAAUGUGGCCUUGGUUUAUCCACCUACGCCAACUGUGAUCAGCCCCUGUUCCAAGUAUCUUCAUACUUUCUUGGAAAAUUAAGUGGAAAAGAUAGUGCUUCUUUCCCUUAUACCAUCAUUUUUACUGUACCAAUCUGUGACUAUAGGAGCACCAGUGUUUAAGGGAAGAAUGUUGGUGAAAAGCACAGACACCAGUGACUUUUCUGGCUGUGGGAUUUCCGUGAAGAAAGCUGAGCAGUGGGACCCACCAUGCCCAUCCUCUGUUCGCGGCACACCCUCCGAGUCCCGAGCAUGCGCGGUGCAACUGGUGACGAUGCACCCGGGGUCCUCUGAGCUGGCCUGGAGGGGCACGGGAAGGAUGGGAGAGAACAUGGAGCAAACAUUUCACAAACUGAACCUCAGAACUAAGAUCCUCUAAGGAAAGCGCUACUUGAAGAAGAGUCGAAUGGCUUCUCAGGGAUUUUGUUUUCUGUGCACAUAUAAGCCAUAGUUACAGUACAGGUGGCAGUAUUUAGAGCACUUCGGUUUCAGUUCUGUUCAAUGUGAAAGAGGGAUCGACCGACGUUCAUUGCUGUUCCGUAACUAGUGUAAGAUAUGUAUAUGUUUAUCUUUAUUUUUAUAAUACGCAAAUACCUUUAAAUUUAUACAGUUUGAAGCUUCUAGCAUCAUUUAACACUGGGUGCAAUAUUUUGCAUGAGAACUGUGCCAAGAUGGGGCUGAUUUCUUAUUUGAGCAUAAGACAUUUUCUUUAUUCUUUAACAAUGCCUUUUCAGUUUAGAAAGAAAAAGUGAAAUAUCAGCCUGUGGAUUGAAUGUUGAUUCGCAGAGGCAGUGAGCCAGCCAAUGCUGAGCAGGAUACUUCUACGUGUGCUUCAGCCCCAUCUGUCCACUGUCGCCCUGCCUGUAAGUUAGUGGACUGAGGGCAGGAUUGCUCCUGUUUUAUCCCCACUUAUCAUUAGUGCAGGGCAGAGACGGAGCACUCUGGGGGCCAAAGAGGACGGAGAGUCCAUGAAAAACCCAAUCUUUCAGUAACGUAGAUCAUCAAGAGUCAGUUCUGAAUCAAGCUAGGGGCUCUGCAAAUACACAUCGUGCUUUUCUAUAACAGGGUCCAAAGUGAGCAGAGUGCUUCGUGGACCCGCUACAUCUGGCUGUGGGAUGUUGGCUUAGAAAGGCACCCACUUGGGGAGCCCACCCCGCACUGGCCAUUCAUACAGAACCUCUUAGUAUACAAUUUAGCAUCAAGAACUGGGAAAACCCUUGUUCUGAAAUCUUUAGGAGGUAA